GUAGGUGGCAAGCGUUGUCCGGAAUUAUUGGGGCGUAAAGCGCGCGCAGGCGGUUUUUUAAGUCUGAUGUGAAAGCCCACGGCUCAACCGUGGAGGGGUCAUUGGAAACUGGAGAACUUGAGUGCAGAAGAGGAGAGCGGAAUUCCACGUGUAGCGGUGAAAUGCGUAGAGAUGUGGAGGAACACCAGUGGCGAAGGCGGCUCUCUGGUCUGUAACUGACGCUGAGGCGCGAAAGCGUGGGGAGCAAACAGGAUUAGAUACCCUGGUAGUCCACGCCGUAAACGAUGAGUGCUAAGUGUUAGAGGGUUUCCGCCCUUUAGUGCUGCAGCAAACGCAUUAAGCACUCCGCCUGGGGAGUACGGUCGCAAAGACUG
Molecule: ribosomal RNA, 374 nt
Filed under: uncultured organism
Description: partial 16S ribosomal RNA
Rfam family: Bacterial small subunit ribosomal RNA
Source: RNAcentral